Molecule: ribosomal RNA, 499 nt
Filed under: uncultured bacterium
Lineage: Bacteria
Description: partial 16S ribosomal RNA
Rfam family: Bacterial small subunit ribosomal RNA
Source: RNAcentral
AUUGAACGCUGGCGGAAUGCUUUACACAUGCAAGUCGAACGGCAGCACGGACUUCGGUCUGGUGGCGAGUGGCGAACGGGUGAGUAAUGUAUCGGAACGUGCCCGGUCGUGGGGGAUAACGUAGUGAAAAUUACGCUAAUACCGCAUACGAUCUAUGGAUGAAAGCGGGGGAUCGCAAGACCUCGCGCGAUUGGAGCGGCCGAUAUCAGAUUAGGUAGUUGGUGGGGCAAAGGCCCACCAAGCCAACGAUCUGUAGCUGGUCUGAGAGGAGGACCAGCCACGCUGGCACUGGGACACGGUCCAGACUCCUACGGGAGGCAGCAGUGGGAAUUUUGGACAAUGGGCGAAAGCCUGAUCCAGCCAUUCCGCGUGCAGGAUGAAGGCCCUCGGGUUGUAAACUGCUUUUGUACAGAACGAAAAGGUUUCUACUAAUACUAGGAGCUCAUGACGGUACUGUAAGAAUAAGCACCGGCUAACUACGUGCCAGCCGCCGCCGUAA